CCUACGGGUGGCAGCAGUGGGGAAUAUUGGACAAUGGGCGAAAGCCUGAUCCAGCCAUGCCGCGUGUGUGAAGAAGGCCUUCGGGUUGUAAAGCACUUUCAGUGGGGAAGAAAGCCUUGGGGCUAAUACCCUCGAGGAAGGACAUCACCCACAGAAGAAGCACCGGCUAACUCCGUGCCAGCAGCCGCGGUAAUACGGAGGGUGCGAGCGUUAAUCGGAAUUACUGGGCGUAAAGCGCGCGUAGGCGGUCUGAUAAGCCGGUUGUGAAAGCCCCGGGCUCAACCUGGGAACGGCAUCCGGAACUGUCAGGCUAGAGUGCAGGAGAGGAAGGCAGGAUCCCGGUGUAGCGGUGAAAUGCGUAGAGAUCGGGAGGAAUACCAGUGGCGAAGGCGGCCUUCUGGACUGACACUGACGCUGAGGUGCGAAAGCGUGGGUAGCAAACAGGAUUAGAUACCCCAGUAGUC
RNAcentral lists this ribosomal RNA (464 nucleotides) under Vreelandella stevensii. RNAcentral describes it as "partial 16S ribosomal RNA". It matches the Rfam family "Bacterial small subunit ribosomal RNA", at positions 338 to 795 of the family's 1533-position model. Lineage: Bacteria; Pseudomonadati; Pseudomonadota; Gammaproteobacteria; Oceanospirillales; Halomonadaceae. The record is from RNAcentral.